RNAcentral lists this long non-coding RNA (632 nucleotides) under Panax ginseng (ginseng). RNAcentral's name for it is "long non-coding RNA (PGIN_LNC015266)". Lineage: Eukaryota; Viridiplantae; Streptophyta; Magnoliopsida; Apiales; Araliaceae. The record is from RNAcentral.
UUUAAAAAUUUUUUUUGUUAAAAAAACUUAUUUUGUAUUUUAAUAUUUUUUUAAUCAGUAUUUAGUAUUUUUUUAAUUAGUAUUUUAAUUAUUUUCAUGUGGCAGCCACGUAAGCAAUUUGGACGGAUGUUAGUCUAUGUGGCAUGCCUGUCAACGGCAGGGGCACGAAUGACCCAAAAAAUAUAACGUUAGGGGUAUUUUUGAACAAAAAAAAGUAUAGAGUGCUCGGUAGACAUUAGAAAAAAUGUCAGAGGCAUUUUUAGACCUUAUCCCUGCUGAUAUUCGACUAAUAAAAUAUUUCUACUUUUGUUAUAAACAAAUAGAAUGACACAAAAUAAAUAAUACAAAUACAUAAAUAAUCAUGAAAUGUGUAAAAUCCUAACUUUUUGAAUAAAGAUGAAUUUUCUAUAAAUAUUAUUUUUGAAUAUUAUGGAGUGAAAUUGAUAUAAUAGUUGUGGGUAAUAUUUAUAAAUUUUGCAAAGUACGCAAGUUGUUAUAUAAUAUUCGAUUGGUCGGGGAAUAUUCGUUUUAACAUGGAAUAUUAGUACAACGGCACAAUUAUUGGUGGACCCCACAACGGAAUUAUUGUCGGAUUGAAAAAAUAACAAAAAUACUUUAUGAAAAUAACGGUG